This 372-nucleotide long non-coding RNA is filed under the name Hordeum vulgare. Its description in RNAcentral is "long non-coding RNA (HVUL_LNC001325)". Lineage: Eukaryota; Viridiplantae; Streptophyta; Magnoliopsida; Poales; Poaceae. The record is from RNAcentral.
UCUCAAUAUCAUGUAGGUAGGAUGCGUGCCAUAUUUCAUCAGAAUAGGAGUUUGUUUGAUACGCAAACCAAUAAACCUAUAGUGGCACUAUAGCCAAUCAAAUCAUAGUAGUUUUCGAUUUUAAAACCCUAUCACGGGCUGCCAUUUUCCCUCUCUUUUCAAGCCCAUGGACAUCUAUCACAACCACCUAGCCCACUAACCCUAGUCUUUGUCGGAGCAUCCAAUCAUGACUGGAGGGUUGAAAACGCCCUAAAGCUCCUCAAACCCUAGCUCAUGCUAUAUAAGGUAGCUCCACCCGUGCCUAAUGUGGAAUAAUUCUCUCCUCAUCUUGUUUUCUGCUCAACCCACAACCCCACCGCCAAGUGGCACCAC